Molecule: ribosomal RNA, 445 nt
Filed under: uncultured soil bacterium
Lineage: Bacteria
Description: bacterial SSU rRNA
Rfam family: Bacterial small subunit ribosomal RNA
Source: RNAcentral
AGAACGAACGCUGGCGGCAUGCCUAAUACAUGCAAGUCGAACGAACACUUCGGUGUUAGUGGCGCACGGGUGCGUAACGCGUGGGAAUCUGCCCUUGGGUUCGGAAUAACAGUUGGAAACGACUGCUAAUACCGGAUGAUGACGUAAGUCCAAAGAUUUAUCGCCCAGGGAUGAGCCCGCGUAGGAUUAGCUAGUUGGUGAGGUAAAGGCUCACCAAGGCGACGAUCCUUAGCUGGUCUGAGAGGAUGAUCAGCCACACUGGGACUGAGACACGGCCCAGACUCCUACGGGAGGCAGCAGUGGGGAAUAUUGGACAAUGGGCGAAAGCCUGAUCCAGCAAUGCCGCGUGAGUGAUGAAGGCCUUAGGUUGUAAAGCUCUUUUACCCGGGAUGAUAAUGACAGUACCGGAGAAUAAGCUCCGGCUAACUCCGCGCCAGCAGUCCGC